RNAcentral lists this ribosomal RNA (601 nucleotides) under uncultured bacterium. RNAcentral's name for it is "bacterial SSU rRNA". It matches the Rfam family "Bacterial small subunit ribosomal RNA", at positions 722 to 1327 of the family's 1533-position model. The record is from RNAcentral.
CAGCUGACGGGAGCGCAACUGACGCUCAUGCUCGAAAGUGCGGGUAUCGAACAGGAUUAGAUACCCUGGUAGUCCGCACGGUAAACGAUGGAUGCCCGCUAUUUGUCCAUUAGGAUAAGUGGCCAAGUGAAAACGUUAAGCAUCCCACCUGGGGAGUACGCCGGCAACGGUGAAACUCAAAGGAAUUGACGGGGGCCCGCACAAGCGGAGGAACAUGUGGUUUAAUUCGAUGAUACGCGAGGAACCUUACCCGGGCUUGAAUUGUGAGAGAAGGAUCCAGAGAUGGUGACGCCCUUCGGGGCUCUCAUGAAGGUGCUGCAUGGUUGUCGUCAGCUCGUGCCGUGAGGUGUCGGCUUAAGUGCCAUAACGAGCGCAACCCCUCUCUUCAGUUGCCAUCAGGUUAAGCUGGGCACUCUGGAGACACUGCCACCGUAAGGUGUGAGGAAGGUGGGGAUGACGUCAAAUCAGCACGGCCUUUACGUCCGGGGCUACACACGUGUUACAAUGGGUGGUACAGAGAGUUGGGUGCCCGCAAGGUCACUCUAAUCAAUAAAUCCAUCCUCAGUUCGGACUGGGGUCUGCAACCCGACCCCACGAAGCU